UCUUGAUCCCAUGUUCUUGAUCUUCACUCAACCACAAAGAAGCAUCAUCAUCUGAAACUAUAGUCCCCGAUUCAUCAGAAGACGAGUCGUCAUCUGAAACUGUAGUCUCCGGUUCAUCAGAAGAAACCAGGCAUUUUCUUGCAUUCGGUUUAACCGGGGUUUUAAAACGAGAUACAUGUCCAAUUUUGUUAAAAGAAACCUUCAAUUUUCAAUAAUACCCAUAAGUACCUUAAGGUAGAGCCCAUGU
Molecule: long non-coding RNA, 247 nt
Filed under: Helianthus annuus (common sunflower)
Lineage: Eukaryota; Viridiplantae; Streptophyta; Magnoliopsida; Asterales; Asteraceae
Description: hypothetical non coding rna
Source: RNAcentral